Long non-coding RNA from Leopardus geoffroyi (Geoffroy's cat), 453 nucleotides. RefSeq lists it as uncharacterized. The record is from RefSeq and is a predicted model, not a curated record. The transcript has 2 exons. Lineage: Eukaryota; Metazoa; Chordata; Mammalia; Carnivora; Felidae.
GUGUGGCUGGAGGAAACGCGAGAAAAUUCGGUGGCGGGCCUUUGUGAGUUGUGAAGCACCAGGCGACAGAAACGUUUUGUUGGCACAGAAUAAUUUUUGCUGGUCUCAGGAGACACUGGGUAACUGGUGACGUGCAGACUGAUUCUUGCUGAGCCGCAGGACCGAGAGCCUUCACCAUCCUUCUCAACCUUCCCGUGGAGGCUGUGGCAUCGUGUGUGGAGGUCUCCGCUCUGACCUCUCGGCUCUGGCCCUUGUCCCAUCUUUCACGAGCAAGCCAACCCAGCGAGGGGACAGAUGUGAGUGGACACUGCCAACCUCUGGACGGGAGCGAUUGCGCAGCUUGGGAAGGGGGCCCCGUGUGACGCAUGAACGGGAUCUGGAAGGGCUGUUGAGGAGAAUUGCGGAUGUCAGCUUUUUCUGACAUCACAGCCAAUAAAAACUCACACCAGCACA